This 1023-nucleotide long non-coding RNA is filed under the name Oryzias sinensis (Chinese medaka). RNAcentral describes it as "lncRNA (ENSOSIG00000007242.1)". The record is from RNAcentral. Lineage: Eukaryota; Metazoa; Chordata; Actinopteri; Beloniformes; Adrianichthyidae.
UUUUGCUUAAAGAUCACCAUAAUUGAUACUUGGUGAAUCUUUAUCAUCCCCUUUAUGUUCAAUCAAAAACAGGGAAGAAGUCAAAUGUGUACAGCACACUUUCUGGUCGUUUCUUAGUAACCAGAAGUGAGGCGUCUGGAUUUAAGCACUGCUGAGCCCCCGCCAGGCUGAACACAGCGAUCCCAGACUCAUUGGUUUAUGAGAAAAGAUGUAACAGAGAGGUCAGAUUAUCCUGACACACUUCAGUAUUUCACAAGUUGUGCCGGGGUGGCAUUCCAGUUCAUGUAAAUGUUGCCGUCAUUUUCAAGCAGCGCUAAAACAAAUGUGAGCAGCUUAGUCCGUACAUGACAAAGCAACUCCUGUGUUUGGUCUGUCGCCAUGGUAAACCCUCUGCCCUUCUUCUCCACUUGUUAAUGUUACACCAAGGACAUAUUUACGAAGCUUUUCCUGCGCAUUUGAAGGAGAGCACCAAGACACACUCUCAGUAAUGAGCUUUGAUCGCAGAUGCAGAUAGGGGCCUGCUCAGAGCGUGCACGCACGGCCCAGAUUUGGGGAAUUGAUAGAGUCCAUUGUUUCCUGGGAGCUUGCCACUUUUUGCCUUCUAAUGUGAUUAUGGCCAGAGUUCUGCUGCUUUCCAGCCACCCACAACCCGAUCUGUGGUGUCUGACAGCAGUCCUUCUGUCCAGCUGGUCUUCAUUUCUGAUAUUAGUUUAAAGGAACCCAUGUAUGUGACUUUUGUCAGCAAAGCCGUGCUGUGGGACAGAGAGCUCCACCACACCUCUGUCCGGGAUGGCUCUCUUAGGCGUCCCUCUGUGUGUCCACGGUUCCUGUCCCACAUGAAGGUUCCUGCUGGAGAAGACCUUCACGCUUUGCGUUUUCUGAACUCCAUGUCCAUGCAGCAGCUUCCAUCCGAGGAGGAGAUGUUUCACCUCGCGUCCACAAAGACCCGAAGUCCUGAAGGUGAGCCGUUCUGAGCAGUCUUCUUCUCUCUGGGUCCCAGUUUGGUUGAACAUUCAUGUGGUG